Molecule: ribosomal RNA, 1372 nt
Filed under: uncultured bacterium
Lineage: Bacteria
Description: bacterial SSU rRNA
Rfam family: Bacterial small subunit ribosomal RNA
Source: RNAcentral
GAUGAACGCUGGCGGCGUGCCUAAUACAUGCAAGUCGAGCGAACGGACGAGAAGCUUGCUUCUCUGAUGUUAGCGGCGGACGGGUGAGUAACACGUGGAUAACCUACCUAUAAGACUGGGAUAACUUCGGGAAACCGGAGCUAAUACCGGAUAAUAUUUUGAACCGCAUGGUUCAAAAGUGAAAGACGGUCUUGCUGUCACUUAUAGAUGGAUCCGCGCUGCAUUAGCUAGUUGGUAAGGUAACGGCUUACCAAGGCAACGAUGCAUAGCCGACCUGAGAGGGUGAUCGGCCACACUGGAACUGAGACACGGUCCAGACUCCUACGGGAGGCAGCAGUAGGGAAUCUUCCGCAAUGGGCGAAAGCCUGACGGAGCAACGCCGCGUGAGUGAUGAAGGUCUUCGGAUCGUAAAACUCUGUUAUUAGGGAAGAACAUAUGUGUAAGUAACUGUGCACAUCUUGACGGUACCUAAUCAGAAAGCCACGGCUAACUACGUGCCAGCAGCCGCGGUAAUACGUAGGUGGCAAGCGUUAUCCGGAAUUAUUGGGCGUAAAGCGCGCGUAGGCGGUUUUUUAAGUCUGAUGUGAAAGCCCACGGCUCAACCGUGGAGGGUCAUUGGAAACUGGAAAACUUGAGUGCAGAAGAGGAAAGUGGAAUUCCAUGUGUAGCGGUGAAAUGCGCAGAGAUAUGGAGGAACACCAGUGGCGAAGGCGACUUUCUGGUCUGUAACUGACGCUGAUGUGCGAAAGCGUGGGGAUCAAACAGGAUUAGAUACCCUGGUAGUCCACGCCGUAAACGAUGAGUGCUAAGUGUUAGGGGGUUUCCGCCCCUUAGUGCUGCAGCUAACGCAUUAAGCACUCCGCCUGGGGAGUACGACCGCAAGGUUGAAACUCAAAGGAAUUGACGGGGACCCGCACAAGCGGUGGAGCAUGUGGUUUAAUUCGAAGCAACGCGAAGAACCUUACCAAAUCUUGACAUCCUUUGACAACUCUAGAGAUAGAGCCUUCCCCUUCGGGGGACAAAGUGACAGGUGGUGCAUGGUUGUCGUCAGCUCGUGUCGUGAGGUGUUGGGUUAAGUCCCGCAACGAGCGCAACCCUUAAGCUUAGUUGCCAUCAUUAAGUUGGGCACUCUAAGUUGACUGCCGGUGACAAACCGGAGGAAGGUGGGGAUGACGUCAAAUCAUCAUACCCCUUAUGAUUUGGGCUACACACGUGCUACAAUGGACAAUACAAAGGGCAGCGAAACCGCGAGGUCAAGCAAAUCCCAUAAAGUUGUUCUCAGUUCGGAUUGUAGUCUGCAACUCGACUACAUGAAGCUGGAAUCGCUAGUAAUCGUAGAUCAGCAUGCUACGGUGAAUACGUUCCCGGGUCU